RNAcentral lists this ribosomal RNA (505 nucleotides) under uncultured Pseudomonadota bacterium. Its description in RNAcentral is "bacterial SSU rRNA". It matches the Rfam family "Bacterial small subunit ribosomal RNA", at positions 397 to 896 of the family's 1533-position model. The record is from RNAcentral. Lineage: Bacteria; Pseudomonadati; Pseudomonadota.
CCGCGUGAGUGAAGAAGGCCUUCGGGUGUAAAGCUCUUCGGCCGGAACGAAAUCGCGCGGGUGAACAACCCGCGUGGAUGACGGUACCGGAAGAAGAAGCACCGGCUAACUACGUGCCAGCAGCCGCGGUAAUACGUAGGGUGCAAGCGUUAAUCGGAAUUACUGGGCGUAAAGCGUGCGCAGGCGGUCGCGUAAGCCAGAUGUGAAAUCCCCGGGCUUAACCUGGGAACUGCAUUUGGUACUGCGUGGCUGGAGUGCGGCAGAGGAAGGUGGAAUUCCUGGUGUAGCAGUGAAAUGCGUAGAGAUCAGGAGGAACACCGAUGGCGAAGGCAGCCUUCUGGGCCAGCACUGACGCUCAUGCACGAAAGCGUGGGGAGCAAACAGGAUUAGAUACCCUGGUAGUCCACGCCCUAAACGAUGGCCACUAGUUGUUGGGGGAGUCUAUCCCUUAGUAACGUAGCUAACGCGUGUAGCGGCCCGCCUGGGGAGUACUGUCGCAAGAUUC